GACGAACCGUGCGAACGUUAUUCGGAAUCACUGGGCUUAAAGCGCGUGUAGGCGGAUGGGGACGUCGGUCGCUGAAAUCCCCCGGCUCAACCGGGGAACGGGCGCCGAAACGCCCCGUCUGGAGGGACGUAGGGGGACCUGGAACUUCCGGUGGAGCGGUGAAAUGCGUUGAGAUCGGAAGGAACGCCCGUGGCGAAAGCGGCUCACUGGACCACAACUGACGCUGAGGCGCGAAAGCUAGGGGAGCAAACAGG
RNAcentral lists this ribosomal RNA (254 nucleotides) under uncultured bacterium. RNAcentral's name for it is "partial 16S ribosomal RNA". It matches the Rfam family "Bacterial small subunit ribosomal RNA", at positions 524 to 776 of the family's 1533-position model. The record is from RNAcentral.